Long non-coding RNA from Aedes albopictus (Asian tiger mosquito), 2616 nucleotides. RefSeq lists it as uncharacterized. The transcript is spliced from 2 exons. Lineage: Eukaryota; Metazoa; Arthropoda; Insecta; Diptera; Culicidae. The record is from RefSeq and is a predicted model, not a curated record.
UUCGAGCAGAGACGUUCCAUGGUGGAAUAAAACUCUUGAGAAGCUUAGGAAAACUGCGCGUAGGGAAUUCAAUCGUGCCAAGCGAACCGGCGAUUGAAGCCUAUACAGAAAGGCCCUGACGAACUACAACAAAGAAAUAAGGUCAGCCAAACGGAAAUCGUGGAUUCUAAUAUGUGAAAGCAUAGAGAAUACACCCGUAGUGGCCAGACUCCAAAAAACUCUUUCAAAAGACCACUCCAAUGGUGUGGGUAGCCUCCGAAAGACGGAUGGUUCGCUCACUGUAGAGCCUAGCGAUACACUGAGCGAAUUGUUAAAGAUCCACUUCCCAGAUUAAAUCCCUGAGUCGAGCAUCGGCGACCAAGACACUGGAAUUUCUCUCUCAGAUCCACAAGUGAUCCAAUCAUGGGCAGUGUACGCAGAAUAUGCCACCGCAAGCGAAAAAUAGGCAACAAAGAAAGCACGGCAACAACGCUUUGUUUUUUCGUUAGCAGAUAAUGACAAAAUCGCUCCCGAGUUUGUUCACAACAAAAACGGUAGGAAUAUUUGUCUCGUUCUAUUCACAUCGUGAUUUUCGCAUUGUUUUACAACUGAAACUCAACUCUGAGGUUUGCAAGAGUCUUAUUUCGUCCAAAUGCUUAUGAAUUCGAUAAUGUGGGUUGAAAAUUUCAGCUGAAAAGCCGGAAUAUCAGCACACGCACGGCAAGCGAUGUUUGUUUUAUUGCUCUCGCCGCCUGACAUGCGUUUGUUGCGGAGCGCCUUUGUUGCCAACAUGCACCGCUUAGGACAAAGCGUUUGUUUUUCGGCGUGAUCCGUUUUUCGUACCCUGAUCAUGGGUUUCUGGAUCUAAAAAAGACGCAAUAAAGGUUGCAAAGGAAGCUUUCACUCGGGCCAGGGUUGAGAGGGCUGUGAGAUCUUUCGAGCCAUUUAAGUCUCCUGGCAUGGAUGGAAUAUUCCCAGCGUUGAUCCAAAAAGAGGAGAAAACACUGGUUCCACCCUUGGUUGAGAUUUUUAGGGCGAGUCUGAUUUUGGGGCAUAUACCCAACGAUUGGCGUCAAAUCCGGGCUGUCUUCAUUCCGAAGGCAGGAAAGAGAGAUAAAACCAACCCCAAAGCAUUCAGGCCGAUAAGUUUAUCCUCUGUAGUGCUCAAAAUUAUGGAAAAGGUACUAUGCGAGUACAUAAAUCACAAAUUUAUGAAAGCAAUGCCUUUGUCAAAAAACCAAUUCGCUUAUCAAAGUGGAAAAUCUACGAUCUCGGCACUACAUACGGUAGUUCAAAAGAUCGAAAAAACACUCAAUGCAAAAGAAAUUGCUCUUGUAGCAUUUCUUGAUAUUGAGGGCGCAUUCGAUAACGCUUCUUAUUCGUCUAUAGGGUCAGCAAUGUUGAGGAGAAAAUUCGACCCAUGCAUUGUUACCUGGGUACAUGCUAUGCUAGCUAAUCGAAAAAUCUUCUCUGAGCUUAGCGGUUCAUACAUUACUGUUAAAGCAACAAGGGGGUGUCCGCAAGGCGGAGUACUUUCUCCUUUGUUGUGGUCACUGGUGGUGGAUGAGCUUCUAGACAGCUUAGAGAGAAGAGGCUUCGAAGUGGUUGGAUAUGCUGAUGACGUUGUCAUUAUUGUACGAGGCAAAUUCGAAAGUGUUAUCGUGGAAAGAAUGCAAUCUGCCCUAAAUCACACUUUUUCCUGGUGUCAUAAGGAACAACUAGGCAUAAAUCCUACAAAAACUUCCAUUAUCCCUUUCACCAAACGGAGGAAGGUCCAACUGAAACCCCUUUUCUUGAAUCAAGCGAAGUAAAAUAUCUAGGUGUCAUACUCGACGCAAAACUGAAUUGGAACUCUCAUCUCCAAUCAGUUGUGCAGAAAGGUCUCAAUACACUUUGGGUUUGUUCAAAAACCCUGGGUGAAAGAUGGGGCCUAAAACCAAGUAUGAUCAUGUGAAUAUAUAAAACCAUUGUUCGUCCCAGGACUACUUACGCUUCCCUUGUCUGGUGACCUAAAACUAAUGAGGCUGCUGCAAGGGCGAAGCUCAACAAAAUCCAACGCACCGCUUGCAUAGCGAUCACUGGUGCAGUUCGUAGUACACCCACUUUGGCCCUAGACGCAAUGCUUCACCUGCCCCGGUUAGAUCAAUUCAUAAAGCUGGAAGCGGAAAAAAGUGCUCUAAGGUUAAAGAGAACAAAAACGCUGCUGUCGGGAGACCUUACGGGUCACCUCAGCAUAUUAAAUGAAUUUGCCAUAAAUCCCACAAUAGGAAUUUGUAGUGACUGGAUGGAAACGGUAGUCAAUUAUGACUUACCUUACGAUGUGUUCAUUCCUUCCCGCCAGGAGUGGGAAGAAGGUGGACCCAGCGUUCCAACAGGCUCUAUAAAUUUCUUCACAGAUGGUUCGAAAAUGAAUAAUCUGACAGGCUCCGGAAUCUAUGGCCCUAGAACAAAAAUCUCUGUCCACUUAGGACAGUGGCCCACAGUAUUUCAGGCGGAAAUAUAUGCAAUAUUAGAAUGCGUGUUAUUAUGCCUGAGGAGAAAGUAUAGGUUUGCAAAAAUAUGUAUUUUCUCUGACAGCCAAGCGGCACUUAAGUCGCUUAAUAACUACACUUGUAACUCAAAGCUAGUGUGGGAAUG